ACUAAUAAACCAAACAUAGCACGAUUGAGUCAUUUACACCAUAAUGAUAGCCCGGUUUUGCUUAAAAUAAAACCACCAUUUGGUCCCAACCUCAAAACUCCUAGCUAGUAGCUACAUAAUAUUACUACAUCUCUUUACCACAAUUAUACGCACCUUUUAAUUUACAAGAAAUAGAGAGAGAAAUUUCUCUUGUGACUUCAUUUCAGUUCAUCUGAUAGUUAUGAUUAGAGGAAGAAGCACGUUUAAUGAUGAUUUAUUAUAGUUCCAAUUGAUUAAUUAAUGAGGUCUUUGUUCCAUAUUAUUGCAUGCCCAUGCAGAAUAAGAAUUAAAUUGCCGGUUGAUCCAUAUUUGACGUAUACCCUCAAGUCUUUGCCGAAGGAUAGCCGAUUCGGUCCUCAGCCGCUCGUUCUCACACUGGACCACUUGGCACUGGUGAGUGAUUAACCGUAACCGGUUCAUUAUUUCCCGGUUCCCUACUUUAAGCCGGUUCGCUUGGUUCCGCAGGUUUUCCAGAUGCUUUUGCUUUCGCAUGCGAGACCGCCUUGCUGAUUCCCGGUUCGAUACCAUACGUCGACGCUUCCUCUCAUCCAUGUCACGGUUCGAUGUCGUGCGCUGCCGCUUUCUCUCGUCAGGACACCGGUUCGACUUA
RNAcentral lists this long non-coding RNA (649 nucleotides) under Solanum lycopersicum (tomato). RNAcentral's name for it is "long non-coding RNA (SLYC_LNC001242)". Lineage: Eukaryota; Viridiplantae; Streptophyta; Magnoliopsida; Solanales; Solanaceae. The record is from RNAcentral.